RNAcentral lists this non-coding RNA (95 nucleotides) under fish gut metagenome. RNAcentral describes it as "THF riboswitch". It matches the Rfam family "THF (Tetrahydrofolate) riboswitch aptamer". From Rfam's summary of the family: THF riboswitch presents a pseudoknot that joins P1-P2 and the loop of P3 and two THF binding. The record is from RNAcentral.
GCAGAGUAGAAAUUUAUGAGUUAAGUGCUAAAUAGACGAUAGGAGUGCUAUUUGGACGAAAAGUUAUCUUGCUAUAUAAAUUUCGCAUCCUACUG